GUAUGACCUGUGAAUGUACUGUUGAUAUCUUGGGAAAUAGAGAUAGUUCCCAUUUAGUAUGCCACCAGUUUAACACCUGUUCAAAUUUACCUUGUACUCUGUGCAUUUUUUUGGUUUUAAUUCUCUUGUUUCCUGUUUUAUUUUGAAAAUGCUGCUCUCGUGUGUCGAAUCUAGCUUUUCAGUUCCUACUUCCAGUAGUUUUCCGUUCCUUUCCCUCACCUGUCCUCCUCCCGCCUCCCUCCACCUGUUCCUGAUCCCCUCGUUAGUAUAUCUGUAUAUAGUCAUAGUUCCCCCUCAUGUUCCCUUUUGUCAGUUGGCUCUGUCUUCCCCUGUGAUGCCAGCCUGUGUUCUCCACCAGUGUCUCCUCCUGUGUCCACCCGUUGCCUGUGAUCAUCUCCAUUCUCUCCUGCUACCUCUGGGCAUUACUGUACCUGUGUAUCUGCCCGUGAGUAAACCUCUUCAAGUCCAUGCCAAACGCUAGAUGAUGAAAGGCACUUCUCCUUCAAACGUGUCGGAAUCUCACAGCCAGUGAACAAACUACGUAUAGGCAGAACAAAAGGAAUAAAAAGGUUCGAGCCAUCAUCGCGAGGAUGACCUUUAAAAAGACUCACCGUGCGUUCAGACUCAACAGGAGAGCGCACACUGCUUCAAACACCAGAUGGUCAAGAGGAUUGUCCCUGUCAAGGUCCCCACAUAUGGGAAAUUCAUGCCAGGUUCCGUCGGGACCAGAAGAAAAGAGACAUGGCAUGAUUCUGUGCAGUGCCUAGAGGUAGGAGAAUCAGGAUGGAAGCCGUCACGUUGGGGUGCUUCCCCUAGAGGACGUUUUUUCAGGUGGCCAGGUGUAUUUUCAAACGCCUGACGAUGUGCAGGUUCACCCCUGGCCAACCUGGGGUGUAAAUCCAGUAUAAAUCGCAGAUUAGCAGCCUGAGAGGAGCAGAGCGGGAGCUGAGCAGUCGCAGGGGUGUCUCUAAAAAGACCAGUAGAGGCUUUGGAGAAUUACAGCAGGGGAUCCUUUUCUGAGUGUGUGUGUGUGUGUGUGUGUGUGAUUUGUACCCAUUUGUACAUUAAAAUAAAUCAGAAUAAUUAUAUAAUACCUGCAUUUCAUUAAGCAGGGUUAUCUGUUCUGUAAAUGUUAAGUGUUAUUUUGCACUUUUUUGGUCAAUGUUAUAAAUCUUAC
Acanthopagrus latus (yellowfin seabream) is the source of this 1177-nucleotide long non-coding RNA. RefSeq lists it as uncharacterized. The transcript has 3 exons. The record is from RefSeq and is a predicted model, not a curated record. Lineage: Eukaryota; Metazoa; Chordata; Actinopteri; Spariformes; Sparidae.